Long non-coding RNA from Amphimedon queenslandica, 265 nucleotides. RefSeq lists it as uncharacterized. The record is from RefSeq and is a predicted model, not a curated record. The transcript has 3 exons. Lineage: Eukaryota; Metazoa; Porifera; Demospongiae; Haplosclerida; Niphatidae.
UCUGGUUGCAGCUACAAACGAAGGACAUGAUAAGAUUGCACAGUUAUUAAGUGAAGAAGCUGAUCCAAAUAUUACAAUUCAUAAUAAGGAGUUAUGUGAAGCUGCUGAAAGAGGUGAUUCUACUGGUGUCCAGUCUGCACUGUCUCAAGGAGCUAAUGUAAACUAUCAAAAUCCUAAAGAGGAUGGAACUACUGCUCUUAGUAUAGCAGCAGAGAGAGGACAUUUGGACAUUGUACAAUUGCUGUUGAAUGAUGGAGCUGAUAAA